RNAcentral lists this long non-coding RNA (371 nucleotides) under Elaeis guineensis (African oil palm). RNAcentral's name for it is "long non-coding RNA (EGUI_LNC007636)". The record is from RNAcentral. Lineage: Eukaryota; Viridiplantae; Streptophyta; Magnoliopsida; Arecales; Arecaceae.
UGUUCGACUUUUCAUCCACCGACCAUCACCGUCUUCCAAUGCGAGGUGCUGUCUUUCACCAUCGGCAAUUGGCUUUCAUCUUUUCUGAGAAAAGACAAAGCCUUCAUCGUCUUCCUCCAUCGCCGUCGCCAUCGUCAUUGUCGAUCUUUCCAUCUUCGCUCAUCACCGUCGCCAUCACUGAUCUUUCCAUCUUCGCUCAUUGCCAUCAUCAUUUGUCGUUUCAAGUAUUGCUUGUUCUCUAAUUUAAUCAGGUAUAGUCUUUCUCAGGUUGUUUGUUCCUAUUUAUUUUCCUUCUGUAAUUCUUUCUUCCUUAAUUUAAUAAGUCUGAUGGUCUUUGACUUCUAUUUUUCCUUCAAAAAUAAUAAUUAUAU